UGGGAUCUUGAGUUAGUAUCUAUUACUGAUGCGUAUCUCUUGUGCUCAGUCGCCGAUUUAAUCCUGCCGUGGUGCUCUUUACCGAGUGUCGAGGUAGGCCGGCACGUUUACUUUGAACAAAUUAGAGUGCUCAAAGCAGGCUG
Molecule: ribosomal RNA, 143 nt
Filed under: Micronectidae environmental sample
Lineage: Eukaryota; Metazoa; Arthropoda; Insecta; Hemiptera; Micronectidae
Description: partial 18S ribosomal RNA
Source: RNAcentral